CGGGUGAUUUGCCACACGAACUGGCCACUCCCCUGUUUGACGGACGCGGUCAUUCUAAUCAACGCUGCACGCCGUUGCAGGCCACGUAUACCUUGCUAACUUGUAUUGGACGUCUCAAUAGGAGAACAAAGGCUCGUACUCAACCGUCAUCCAACCUUGCACGCGCCUUCUCCCGCUGCUGCGAGCUGCGCUGAGCCCCUCUCAGCACUGCUUCUUUGGGCCUCUUCGGCAAGCCUUUUACCAAACUGGUUGCUGACAAGUAUACCAAGCCCUCCUCUGUGAGCAGGCAUGAGUGUAAAGAGCACAGAGGCGGUUCCCACCAAGGGCGGCGGCACUGCCCUCUCACCUGAGGCGGAGCUCAGAAUUCGCACUCUGCGCUACGGCUCGCUAGCCAUUCUCGGUGGCUAUGUGGUGGCCACCUUUUACAAAAUGGGUCUCGUCGCCCGCAUCUUGCCGGCCGCCCUUAACCAUUCCUUGGAGUCUGCCGUAGAGGCCAUCAAGAGCCGAACGCAGCCGGUGGGCGAUGCGAAGCGCUUUGCCUUGGCCCGCUCUCACUUGACGGCAACGUACAGUCUCGCCGCGUCUGGUAUGCUUGCAUUGGCGAGUGGUGUCGCUACCUUCCGCUGCGUACCACGCGUUCCGAUUGCCAUACCCACUACCACAGCCGUGGUGCCGGCGGUACUGCUGCUCGGGAUCCCAAAGCGACUGAUGCUCCGUGGGUGCCGACUUCUAUGUUUCUUCACGUCGCUGGUAUCUGUGGGGUACGCACUGGGGCCUAUCGGUUGGGUUGCGCAAGAUACCCUCAUCGUUUUCGUGCUGCUUACGGGCUGCACCAUGACGGGCCUUUGCGUCCCGCUGUACCUCACGCGCGGCAUGAUCAGUUAUGUGGUGAGCGCGCAGGUGCUCUCAUCCGCCUUGUCCGUCGCCCUCGUCACGGCACCGAAGCAGUCUAAGGACAACUCGGCAUUCAAAGCGCUCAAGGAGCAGGCGGGGGUGAAGAUUAUACUGAAUGGCGACAUCAACGUGCUCUUCACGAUGCAGCUCAUGUCCAACGUGGGUGUUUGUGCGUUUCACACGCUACCGAGCAUUUAUCACUGCGUGGCUUGGCAGGGAUGCGAGGCAGACCUGCAAGACUCGAUCGACCCGGUGAGGGAGGCGUUCGGGAUUUGCGCUGGCACGACCUAUGUGAUCUACCGCUGCGUCCGUUGGGCCUGUCGCCUCCUUAUCAGGCGAGUCCUGGCAGACAGCAGUAGUAACCCGCAUGGUGGGCAUGGGCAGAACACCUGGCUGGCGCUUUCGAAUCACUCGCUGGACGUGAACCGUGCGAGCGGUGUCGUGUCGAGUGUGGUCAUGGGUCUCUGGUACGUGCGCGCCGUGUCACUGCUGCAGAAGGGCGACACGGAAACGUUACUAAAUCAGCUGCGCUCCGUCUGCGCGCGUAUCUCGCCGAUGAGCCUGCUGCUCGGUAGCUCCGCCGUGCGCUGCUGAAUGAGCGACCGCCUUUCACCCGUCUUUUCGGCGCGCCAUGGCGGAGCCGAUGACGUGGACGGCAGGGGAGAUGAACUCUCAUUAGCAACAACCGCAGCAGAGCGAAGACAACGAGGAGGGAGAAAGAGAGCUGCACGUAUCCCGUGUGCUGUGUGUCGCCGCGCCAGCGUGGCAACUGUCGUCUCUCUAGUCUCACCCCGCUGCGUGUGAGAAUGGUGGAGCUCUCCUUU
Molecule: unclassified non-coding RNA, 1718 nt
Filed under: Leishmania donovani
Lineage: Eukaryota; Euglenozoa; Kinetoplastea; Trypanosomatida; Trypanosomatidae
Description: gene:LdHU3.33.3700(CDS-product:hypothetical_prote in_conserved)
Source: RNAcentral